GCUGGCGGCACGCCUUAUACAUGCAAGUCGAACGAAGUAGCAAUACUUAGUGGCAGACGGGUGAGUAACAUGUGGGUAUCUUCCCUUUGGUGAGGAAUAACACGAGGAAACUUGUGCUAAUACCUCAUAAGUCUUUACGGAGAAAGCUUUAUGCGCCAAUGGAUGAGCCCGCACUUGAUUAGUUUGUUGGUGGGGUAAUGGCCUACCAAGACUUUGAUCAAUAGCUGAUUUGAGAGGAUGAUCAGCCACAUUGGGACUGAGACACGGCCCAAACUCCUACGGGAGGCAGCAGUAAGGAAUCUUGCACAAUGGAGGAAACUCUGAUGCAGCGAUGCCGCGUGAGUGAAGAAGGCCUUUGGGUUGUAAAGCUCUUUCGUCGGGGAAGAAAAUGACUGUACCCGAAUAAGAAGGUCCGGCUAACUUCGUGCCAGCAGCCGCGGUAAUACGAAGGGACCUAGCGUAGUUCGGAAUUACUGGGCUUAAAGAGUUCGUAGGUGGUUAAAAAAGUUGGUGGUGAAAUCCCAGAGCUUAACUCUGGAACUGCCAUCAAAACUUUUUAGCUAGAGUAUGAUAGAGGAAAGCAGAAUUUCUAGUGUAGAGGUGAAAUUCGUAGAUAUUAGAAAGAAUACCAAUUGCGAAGGCAGCUUUCUGGAUCAUUACUGACGCUGAGGAACGAAAGCAUGGGUAGCGAAGAGGAUUAGAUACCCUCGUAGUCCAUGCCGUAAACGAUGUGUGUUAGACGUUGGAAAUUUAUUUUCAGUGUCGCAGCGAAAGCGAUAAACACACCGCCUGGGGAG
This 797-nucleotide ribosomal RNA is filed under the name uncultured Pelagibacteraceae bacterium. RNAcentral describes it as "bacterial SSU rRNA". It matches the Rfam family "Bacterial small subunit ribosomal RNA", at positions 35 to 880 of the family's 1533-position model. Lineage: Bacteria; Pseudomonadati; Pseudomonadota; Alphaproteobacteria; Candidatus Pelagibacterales; Candidatus Pelagibacteraceae. The record is from RNAcentral.